RNAcentral lists this long non-coding RNA (1409 nucleotides) under Fukomys damarensis (Damara mole-rat). RNAcentral describes it as "lncRNA (ENSFDAG00000026866.1)". Lineage: Eukaryota; Metazoa; Chordata; Mammalia; Rodentia; Bathyergidae. The record is from RNAcentral.
UCGGGCUGCUGGGCAGAGUCCCUUCCCUACUUCCUGCCAUUUCUAUUUGGAAAAAUGAAGUAACCAACUCUGCCUGUUUGUUAUUAUUGUAGAUAUUACACAUCUCACGUUGUGCACAGCCCAGUGACAGAUGAAGUAAGAACCACACAGUUACCAGAACCCCCGCUGGAUUUCCCCCUUUCCUAGCUACUCACCGCAUGAGACAGAACAUCGCCCGGCAGAGUGUGCAACCUUCCCCUCCAGGAAAAGCCCUUUUUUAUUCUCCUACAGAGGCACAGAAUAAGUCUGUCAUGCUGCCCCUCUGAGUGCACGGGUCUCCAAGACUCGGCUCCACCUGUGCCGUCGCCCCUGACCUCUCCCUGUGCCGCCAUCUUUCUUUCCAAGCCAGAGGAAAACGCCCUUUCUGUCCGUUCUUCACACGCUCCCACCUCUGCGUGUGCACUGGAUGCUUUGCAUCCCCUUUUGCCGUUUCUUCUGCUGCCUGGCUCCAGUCUGACCUCCGUCCACAUCCAGGUCAAAUGUAACCUCCUCCCGGAAGCGCCUCCCUGGAGCCGUGCAGGUCGGAUCCCAGAUCUCUUCAGCAUCAGGACCCGUUCGGCAUCUAAGGCGCUGUCUCAGGACCGACCGACUUGGUACCCGCCUUCUGCUUGCUCUGUAUUAUUGCAGAUCUGUUUAGGCAACAGAGUUCCAAGUUUGAAAAAAACAUCUCUAAACCCAAUCUCUCUUUUCCGGCCUCUUACAGCUAGGGGUGGUCACGUGACACAGUAAAUUAAAAACCUAAUCAGCUCCCCCUUGCCAUCCCAAUUGGACUUUUAUUUUUUCCUGCGUACGAUACUAGCUAAUAAAAUUCCAAUUGGUUUUAAAAUCUAAGCUUUCAUAAUAAAGUAAAUCAAUUUCAGAAAGAGUUGACGAUGCUCUUUCCCCGGCAGCAGUAAAUCAACAGAUUUUGUUGGGUGUUAGAAGAUGGCUCAAGGAAUUGAAUUCGAUACCGUGCAAAGCUGGGAAUGUUUAUAAGAAUACCGGUGUUUUCCUCGGCAGUAGUUUUGUAUGAAUAUUCAUGACUGACUUGUUCUCGUCUGUGUUAAUAUAAAUCUGCCCUUGGAAGAACAAUUUGAACAAAGUGGUCUUGUGAGACUCCACAGACAUUAGAAAUUAUUCCAUGUCUUAUGAAAAUGUUCUCCAAAUAAAACGGCUGUGCUGUCGUACUCGAUUUCUUGCUCUGGCGAUGUGGAUACCGUAACUGACAUCUUGGUUUUCCCUAGUUAUAUACCUCUUCUCUUCCACCACACGAACCAUGGAGAACUAAAAUCCCUGCCUCUGCUAGACUUGGUCAUCAAGCAAAUAUUCCGAAAGCCUCUGAUUGCUUAAAACCAAGAGGCUGCUUGCCGGAGGUGUUAGGAAGUUCAUUU